This 472-nucleotide ribosomal RNA is filed under the name uncultured bacterium. RNAcentral describes it as "bacterial SSU rRNA". It matches the Rfam family "Bacterial small subunit ribosomal RNA", at positions 330 to 793 of the family's 1533-position model. The record is from RNAcentral.
CUAUCACUCCUACGGGGAGGCAGCAGUAGGGAAUCUUCCACAAUGGGCGCAAGCCUGAUGGAGCAACACCGCGUGAGUGAGGAAGGGUUUCGGCUCGUAAAGCUCUGUUGUUAAAGAAGAACACGUAUGAGAGUAACUGUUCAUACGUUGACGGUAUUUAACCAGAAAGUCACGGCUAACUGCGUGCCAGCAGCCGCGGUAAUACGUAGGUGGCAAGCGUUAUCCGGAUUUAUUGGGCGUAAAGAGAGUGCAGGCGGUUUUCUAAGUCUGAUGUGAAAGCCUUCGGCUUAACCGGAGAAGUGCAUCGGAAACUGGAUAACUUGAGUGCAGAAGAGGGUAGUGGAACUCCAUGUGUAGCGGUGGAAUGCGUAGAUAUAUGGAAGAACACCAGUGGCGAAGGCGGCUACCUGGUCUGCAACUGACGCUGAGACUCGAAAGCAUGGGUAGCGAACAGGAUUAGAUACCCUGGUAG